This 253-nucleotide ribosomal RNA is filed under the name uncultured bacterium. RNAcentral describes it as "partial 16S ribosomal RNA". It matches the Rfam family "Bacterial small subunit ribosomal RNA", at positions 524 to 776 of the family's 1533-position model. The record is from RNAcentral.
UACGGAGGGGGCUAGCGUUGUUCGGAAUUACUGGGCGUAAAGCGCACGUAGGCGGCUUUGUAAGUUAGAGGUGAAAGCCUAGGGCUUAACCCUGGAAUUGCCUUUAAGACUGCAUCGCUAGAAUCGUGGAGAGGUGAGUGGAAUUCCGAGUGUAGAGGUGAAAUUCGUAGAUAUUCGGAAGAACACCAGUGGCGAAGGCGACUCACUGGACACGUAUUGACGCUGAGGUGCGAAAGCGUGGGGAGCAAACAGG